Molecule: non-coding RNA, 222 nt
Filed under: Hymenobacter sp.
Lineage: Bacteria; Pseudomonadati; Bacteroidota; Cytophagia; Cytophagales; Hymenobacteraceae
Source: RNAcentral
UACCUUUGCGCCCGCCACGGUGACCAGACUCCUACCCACGGAGCGAGGUUGAAAAGGGAAUCCGGUUCAAUGCCGGAGCUGUCCCCGCAACUGUACGCGCUACAUCGGGGUGGGCACCCCACGCCACUGCUGGCUUUGAUUAUCGCUUGAUAACCAGGCUGGUGGGAAGGCCGCCCACCCGGCAGCGCAAGCCAGGAAACCUGCCAGGGCAAUUCACAGGUU